This 458-nucleotide ribosomal RNA is filed under the name uncultured bacterium. RNAcentral's name for it is "bacterial SSU rRNA". It matches the Rfam family "Bacterial small subunit ribosomal RNA", at positions 29 to 506 of the family's 1533-position model. The record is from RNAcentral.
ACGAACGCUGGCGGCGUGCUUAACACAUGCAAGUCGAACGGGAUCCGGACUUCGGUUCGGUGAGAGUGGCGAACGGGUGAGUAACGCGUAGGCAAUCCACCUUCAGGUGGGGGAUAGCCCCGGGAAACCGGGAUUAAUACCGCAUGACGCGUUUGGAUCGCAUGGUCCGGACGUUAAAGAUUUAUCGCCCAGGGAUGAGCCCGCGUAGGAUUAGCUAGUUGGUGGGGUAAAGGCCUACCAAGGCGACGAUCCUUAGCUGGUCUGAGAGGAUGAUCAGCCACACUGGGACUGAGACACGGCCCAGACUCCUACGGGAGGCAGCAGUAGGGAAUAUUGGACAAUGGGGGCAACCCUGAUCCAGCAAUGCCGCGUGAGUGAUGAAGGCCUUAGGGUUGUAAAGCUCUUUUACCCGAGAUGAUAAUGACAGUAUCGGGAGAAUAAGCCCCGGCUAACUCCGU